This 425-nucleotide ribosomal RNA is filed under the name uncultured bacterium. Its description in RNAcentral is "bacterial SSU rRNA". It matches the Rfam family "Bacterial small subunit ribosomal RNA", at positions 354 to 796 of the family's 1533-position model. The record is from RNAcentral.
GUGGGGAAUAUUGCACAAUGGGGGAAACCCUGAUGCAGCAACGCCGCGUGAGUGAAGAAGUAUUUCGGUAUGUAAAGCUCUAUCAGCAGGGAAGAUGAUGACGGUACCUGACUAAGAAGCUCCGGCUAAAUACGUGCCAGCAGCCGCGGUAAUACGUAUGGAGCAAGCGUUAUCCGGAUUUACUGGGUGUAAAGGGUGCGUAGGCGGUCUGCCAAGUCAGAUGUGAAAUACCGGGGCUCAACCCCGGAGCUGCAUUUGAAACUGGCGGACUGGAGUCCGGGAGAGGCAGGCGGAAUUCCUAGUGUAGCGGUGAAAUGCGUAGAUAUUAGGAAGAACACCAGUGGCGAAGGCGGCCUGCUGGACCGGUACUGACGCUGAGGCACGAAAGCGUGGGGAGCAAACAGGAUUAGAAACCCUAGUAGUCC